RNAcentral lists this long non-coding RNA (1546 nucleotides) under Salmo salar (Atlantic salmon). Its description in RNAcentral is "lncRNA (ENSSSAG00000122202.1)". Lineage: Eukaryota; Metazoa; Chordata; Actinopteri; Salmoniformes; Salmonidae. The record is from RNAcentral.
ACCUCUCUCUUCACCCCCGUCUUCACCGUUCUCGCUCUCUUCCUCCCUCUGUCCCCCUCAUUAGGUCGUUCCGCUUAAAGCAGCCCAUAGAGUACAGUCUUUACACCCUUUCACCAACACCCUUUCACCAACACCCUUUCACCAACACCCUUUCACCAACAGUCUUUACACCCUUUCACCAACAGUCUUUACACCCUUUCACCAACAGUCUUUACACCCUUUCACCAACAGUCUGUCCGACACAGGCAGUCUGUCCGACACAGGCAGUCUGUCCGAUGGAUGGAUCACUGUAUCAGCCCUUAUCUGUUUCCUCUAGGACCAUUUCUAUUGGCUGUUUUCUGACCCCGCCCCUAACCACCCACACUAACAGUAGAGGCUAUGUUAUUAUUGAUGAUCGGUUUCUCUUUGUGAACGAUCCAGAGUCUGCAACAAAAAAAAAUCUGUUUUAUUCAAUUGUGCUUCACUUUUUUUUUUCUUACUCUUUUUAAUGUCUUCUAACCCCUUCUAUCUAUCAAAGCAACCGUUAGUUCUAAGAGGCUUUAGCCAAACAUAGAGAUUUAUAUGCCAUAAAUCAUUUUAAAGAUCACCUUGUCGUUGUUACUAUGUCAGUUAAAUAUCGCCCGUCAAAAGCUUUUUAAAUGAUAAUCGUUUCUGCACUACGUUCGUAUAUUCUCGUAUUAUUAACGUCCCUUUAUAAAGAUUUCAUGGUCGACUCAAGUGAAGCUGUACUUUGCACAGAGUUGGAAGUCCCCAGAAAAAUACAAUGGCCUAUCAUGAGAGCGAUUCUAUGAUGACAUCACAGCACGUGUGAUUGGUUUACCCCUUAUAGAGUGGAGUUUUGUGAUGAGUAGAACAGAGCUGUAUUGGUUACUGUAGGACUGUGUUAUAAGGUUUCAGUACAUGUAUGGCUACACUGCCUGGUGGUCCAGACUAGAUAGGCUUACAGGUAAUAAAGACAGUUGAUUACAUUCCAAAUUUCACUCCAUUCCUUAUAAUAGUGCACUACUUUUGACCUUGUGGUGCAGGGUCCUGGUCAUGAGUAGUGUACUAGAAAGGGAAUAGGAUGCUAUUUGGGAUGCAGCUAGGGAGGAUAUGGAGUGAGCGGUCAGUUCAGGUCACAUGAUGAUGAUAUAACAUCAUACAGGUGUCGAGUCUGUGAGUAUCUGUACCAACGCCUUCUGAAGCAACUGUAACACAUGUAAUACAUCAACUGUAAACCAGCAGUAAUGUGUACUGUAUCAUGUACUGUAAGCCCCUCCCCCUCAAAACAACAGUGCAGUAAAAGGUUCAUCUUCAUCACUACUAUUAUUGCUGUUAUAAUUAUGAUCGGUAUAAUUUGUCAUCGUUAGCUAAAAUGGAAGCACCAGAAUGUUGUGGAGAGAGCCCUUUUAUAUUCGUCUGGCUGUGGAGGAAGUGAUUUCACAAAGGAAGACUGGAACAGGAGGAGAGGCUUGAUGAUGUAAAGAUGGUGGUCGUGUUUGUACGGUUGAGAAACGACUUACAGUGCUGAAAUAAAAUUUAUUCUUUUAGUAAAAAAAAAAAAGUA